This 253-nucleotide ribosomal RNA is filed under the name uncultured bacterium. RNAcentral's name for it is "partial 16S ribosomal RNA". It matches the Rfam family "Bacterial small subunit ribosomal RNA", at positions 524 to 776 of the family's 1533-position model. The record is from RNAcentral.
UACAGAGGGUGCGAGCGUUAAUCGGAAUUACUGGGCGUAAAGCGUGCGCAGGCGGUUUUAUAAGCCAGAUGUGAAAUCCCCGGGCUUAACCUGGGAACUGCAUUUGUGACUGUAAGACUAGAGUGCGGCAGAGGGGGGUAGAAUUCCACGUGUAGCAGUGAAAUGCGUAGAUAUGUGGAGGAAUACCGAUGGCGAAGGCAGCCCCCUGGGUCGACACUGACGCUCAUGCACGAAAGCGUGGGGAGCAAACAGG